GACAAGACGUCAACAAGGCAUGUGUGCCUGAUCAGAUUUAGAAUAGCAGUAUAUAGAUCGAGAUGCAUUGUAGCAGAUUAUGGCUGAUGUGAGCGUGAUAGUCCCUGUCUACAAUGGAGAGAAGUGGUUGUGUGAGUGUCUGGAGUCAGUAGAGCAGCAGACAUUCAGUGGCCGUCUCCAGCUGUCGAUGUAUGACGAUGGAAGCACGGAUGGUACAAGUGACCUGAUCGGGACAUGGAGACAGCGCUUGGAGCAUCACGGUAUAGAGGUGGUCACAGGUGGACAUACCGAUGCACAGCCCAGGGGAGUUGGCUAUGCAAAGAACAUGGCUGUCAGACAGAGUACAGGGGACUUCCUCUGUUUCCUGGAUGCAGAUGACGUGAUGCACUGUGACCGCAUCAGAAGUCAGAUUGAGGCUGCCAGGGCACACCCAAAUGCUAUAAUUGGCUGUUGCUUCCAUCGUACACCUGGAGACUCCACGCUCAGGUUCACCCGGUGGGCUAAUUCCCUGUCUCCGGACCAGCUGCCUCUACAGGUGUUCACAUCGCACGGACCAACUGUCAUCAUGCCAACAUGGUUUUGCUCCAGGAAAGUGUUCAACAAAGUCAGUGGCUUCGAUGAAGGUGGCAAGGGAGUUCCAGAGGACCUGAUGUUCUUCUACCGACACCUGGACCUGGAUGGGGACGUGGUGCGUGUGGACCGAGACCUGCUCACCUACAGAUACCACCCACAAGCCACAACAUUCUCUGUCCAUGAGGACACCAUCUGGAAUCUGAGAGUUGACUUCCUACAGAAACAGGUACUGUCUCAUUGGUCCAAAUUCACAAUCUGGAAUGCUGGGAAACAGGGGAGAAAACUCUUUCGUUCUCUUACACCUGAGAAUCAGAAGAAGGUGUGUGGCUUCUGUGAUGUGGAUGCAAAGAAGAUCAGUAAAGGAGUGUACAUCUACGAGGAGUCCAAGGAGCGUCCUAAACCCCGACUUCCCAUCAUGCAUUUCAGUACUGCCAUUCCACCGCUCAUCAUCUGUGUGAAACAGGACCUAACAAGUGGCAGUUUUGAGGAGAAUUUGGCCUCUCUGAAUCUUAUUGAGGGAACAGAAUAUGUCCACUUCAACUGAACCAAGGACCAUGUAGGCACCUUGGUGUCAGCGGCCUAGAACUGUCAGUGAGGGGAGGUGCACCUUGGUGUCAGUGGCCGAGAACUGUCAGUGAGGGGAGGUGCACCUUGGUGUCAGCGGCCUAGAACUGUCAGUGAGGGGAGGUGCACCUUGGUGUCAGUGGCCGAGAACUGUCAGUGAGGGGAGGUGCACCUUGGUGUCCGUGGCCGAGAACUGUCAGUGAGGGGAGGUGCACCUUAGUUUCAGCGGCCUAUCGGUCAUCAGACCUCAACGAACACAUGUGGAAAGAGUUGCAGACCACCCUCUCGCGAUGUCCUGUCCCUUCCAACAACUACAGAAACUUGGCAAUGCUCUUACUGAAAAUUUUAACAAUCUUGCCAAGGAUUGCCCACAAGCAUCUGGAGCAUGAUAAGAUGGUGCCAGGCUGUGAUUGCAUUGUGGAUCACAUACAUGCUACUGAGAGUUGAUUUAAAAAAUAAUAAUUUUAAAACGUAUCAGCUUUGGUCAGAUACUCUCAUUUUGACAGGUGAUCUGAUUAUUGGUCACAUGUUUGUUGGCACAUGACAACUGGCUAUUUUAACAGAUGUACACAAUUCAAUGUAUCAGCUAACUUAGUAUAGAUAAAAAAGGAACUUGUCAGUUUUGGAAUAUAUUCUAUGAAGACCAUUUCAGGUAAACCUUACUGGCAUUUGAACUGUUUGAUAGACAUUACUUGGAAGUUGACCGAAACGUCCCCUUGACAGUAAAUAAAGAAGUUAUCCAUACUUUGUCUUACUGGCAUUUGUUACAAUCAUUGUUAAACAAUAAACUGCCAUGUAACUGUUAAAUUAUUUAUGUCGAGAUUUGGUAGAUGCACGUCGCAUUGUGUUAUCUUUAGAUGCUAGUGUGGUGUGUAAAUACCGGUCCGUAUACCAUGGACGGUGAUAGUAUGUUAUAGAAACAUGUUAAGUUCUAGACGUGAGGGCACAUUAUAGAAACUUUACAUGAGUGUUUAUGAGUCUCUCACACUUUCAUGUGAGAAUCGCUUAUCUUGGA
RNAcentral lists this unclassified non-coding RNA (2152 nucleotides) under Haliotis rufescens (red abalone). RNAcentral describes it as "uDP-GlcNAc:betaGal beta-1,3-N- acetylglucosaminyltransferase-like protein 1, transcript variant X2". The record is from RNAcentral. Lineage: Eukaryota; Metazoa; Mollusca; Gastropoda; Lepetellida; Haliotidae.